This 254-nucleotide ribosomal RNA is filed under the name uncultured bacterium. Its description in RNAcentral is "partial 16S ribosomal RNA". It matches the Rfam family "Bacterial small subunit ribosomal RNA", at positions 524 to 776 of the family's 1533-position model. The record is from RNAcentral.
UACGUAGGGUCCAAGCGUUAUCCGGAAUUACUGGGCGUAAAGCGUCCGCAGGCGGAAAUUUAAGUGCGAUGCGAAAUCUGGUGGCUCAACCAUCUAGACUGUAUCGCAAACUGGAUUUCUUGAGGAUGGCAGAGGCAAGUGGAACUUACGGUGUAGCAGUGAAAUGUGUAGAUAUCGUAAAGAACACCUAUGGCGAAGGCAGCUUGCUGGGCCAUUCCUGACGCUCAGGGACGAAAGCGUGGGGAGCGAACAGG